RNAcentral lists this ribosomal RNA (922 nucleotides) under uncultured Bacteroidota bacterium. RNAcentral describes it as "bacterial SSU rRNA". It matches the Rfam family "Bacterial small subunit ribosomal RNA", at positions 1 to 917 of the family's 1533-position model. Lineage: Bacteria; Pseudomonadati; Bacteroidota. The record is from RNAcentral.
UGGAUCCAGACUUUGAUUAUGGCUCAGGAUGAACGCUAGCUACAGGCUUAACACAUGCAAGUCGAGGGGCAGCAUUACGGUAGCUUGCUACUGUAGAUGGCGACCGGCGCACGGGUGAGUAACGCGUAUCCAACCUGCCCAUGACUUGGGGAUAACCUUGCGAAAGCAAGCCUAACACCCGAUACGCUUCAUAGAUGGCAUCUGAAAUGAAGUAAAGGUUUACGGUUAUGGAUGGGGAUGCGUCCGAUUAGCUUGUUGGCGGGGUAACGGCCCACCAAGGCAUCGAUCGGUAGGGGUUCUGAGAGGAAGGUCCCCCACAUUGGAACUGAGACACGGUCCAAACUCCUACGGGAGGCAGCAGUGAGGAAUAUUGGUCAAUGGAGGCAACUCUGAACCAGCCAAGUAGCGUGCAGGAUGACGGCCCUAUGGGUUGUAAACUGCUUUUAUGCGGGGAUAAAAUGACUCACGUGUGGGUUAUUGCAGGUACCGCAUGAAUAAGGACCGGCUAAUUCCGUGCCAGCAGCCGCGGUAAUACGGAAGGUCCGGGCGUUAUCCGGAUUUAUUGGGUUUAAAGGGAGCGUAGGCCGUUGUUUAAGCGUGUUGUGAAAUGUCCCGGCUCAACCGUGGCACUGCAGCGCGAACUGGACGACUUGAGUGCGCGGAACGUAUGCGGAAUUUGUGGUGUAGCGGUGAAAUGCUUAGAUAUCACGAAGAACUCCGAUUGCGAAGGCAGCAUACGGCAGCGCUACUGACGCUGAAGCUCGAAAGCGCGGGUAUCGAACAGGAUUAGAUACCCUGGUAGUCCGCGCGGUAAACGAUGGAUGCCCGCUGUGCGCCAUUUUGGUGUGCGGCCAAGCGAAAGCGUUAAGCAUCCCACCUGGGGAGUACGCCGGCAACGGUGCAACUCAAAUGAAUUGACGGA